GUUCCCGGGCCUUGUACACACCGCCCGUCAAGCCAUGGAAGCUGGGGGUACCUGAAGUCGGUGACCGCAAGGAGCUGCCUAGGGUAAAACUAGUAACUAGGGCUAAGUCGUAACAAGGUAGCCGUACCGGAAGGUGCGGCUGGAACACCUCCUUUCUAGAG
Molecule: ribosomal RNA, 161 nt
Filed under: Escherichia coli
Lineage: Bacteria; Pseudomonadati; Pseudomonadota; Gammaproteobacteria; Enterobacterales; Enterobacteriaceae
Description: partial 16S ribosomal RNA
Rfam family: Bacterial small subunit ribosomal RNA
Source: RNAcentral